This 776-nucleotide ribosomal RNA is filed under the name uncultured Neocallimastigales. RNAcentral's name for it is "partial large subunit ribosomal RNA". It matches the Rfam family "Eukaryotic large subunit ribosomal RNA", at positions 20 to 635 of the family's 3401-position model. The record is from RNAcentral. Lineage: Eukaryota; Fungi; Neocallimastigomycota; Neocallimastigomycetes; Neocallimastigales.
CAUCACUACGCUAGAUGCAUAUCAAUAAGCGGAGGAAAAGAAACUAACAAGGAUUCCCUUAGUAACGGCGAGUGAAGCGGGAAGAGCUCAAAUUUGAAAUCUUCAAGGUUCUACCUUGACGAAUUGUAGUUUAUAGAAGUGUUUUCUGUUAGUAGAGUGGCAAAAGUUCUUUGGAAUAGGACAUCAUAGAGGGUGAGAAUCCCGUAUUUGGUCAUUCUUUCUAGCUUUGUGAUACACUUUCAACGAGUCGGAUUGUUUGGGAAUGCAGUCCAAAAUGGGUGGUAAAUUUCAUCUAAAGCUAAAUAUUGGCGAGAGACCGAUAGCGAACAAGUACCGUGAGGGAAAGAUGAAAAGAACUUUGAAAAGAGAGUUAAACAGUACGUGAAAUUGUCAAAAGGGAAGCGUUUGACACCAGUGUUGUUUAGUUGAAAAUCAAUUCAAUAUUUUUCGAUUUUAAGUAGUAUUGACUUCAUCAGCUUGCUGCUUUCUUUUCGGAAAUUAUUUAAUGCACUUUUCAGUUAACAAGUCAACAUCAAUUUCUUUUGUUGUAAAAGGGUAAGAGGAAGGUGGCUUACGCUUCGGCGUAAGUGUUUAUAGCCUUUUACCUCUGCAAUCGGAGAGAUUGAGGACAGCAGCGUAGACUCCUUCGGGGGUUAGAUACACUUGUGCUAAGCUAUAGCCUUGUAUAGACAACUUGUUGACUAUGCCCAGUCAUGUAGCUUACUCGCAUGUGCUGUGUUACCUACGCUUAGGAUGUUGAUAUGCAUGACUGAUAU